GGACUACUGGGGUUUCUAAUCCUGUUUGCUCCCCACGCUUUCGUGCCUCAGCGUCAAAACAGGCCCAGGAGGUUGCCUUCGCCAUCGGUGUUCUUCCAGAUAUCUACGCAUUUCACUGCUACACCUGGAGUUCCGCCUCCCUCUACCGUUUUCUAGCCUGUCAGUAUCGAAUGCAGUUCCCAGGUUGAGCCCAGGGAUUUCACAUCCGACUUAACAAACCGCCUACGCACGCUUUACGCCCAGUAAAUCCGAUUAACGCUUGCACCCUCUGUAUUACCGCGGCUGCUGGCAC
RNAcentral lists this ribosomal RNA (292 nucleotides) under uncultured bacterium. Its description in RNAcentral is "partial 16S ribosomal RNA". The record is from RNAcentral.